CUUUCCCUUUCUCUCUCUAAAACCCUUGCCCUAAAGGUUUUCUAUGACUUCUCUCUAGAUUCCCAGCUCCUUGAACCAUAGGAAUUCGAUUUUGGUGCUACCCAAGCGUCCGCGGAGUAGAGGGCUUCAUUUCUACCGAACGUCAUCUUCAUUCCGAUCGGGGCAGGUUGAGUUCUUGUGUUGUCAAUGGUACUGUUAUGGCAGUUUCAGUAGUUGUGCUUGGAGAAACCCAGGUUUCAAAGUGACAGUAUGGUUUAUGGACGUAAUUCCAUGAUCCUCAAGGAGAUGAUACAUGGUGGUGCCCUGGUGGUGUGUAAAAUGAUUGCAUUGUAGCUCAGUUUUGGGGGUUUUCCUGAAACUACAAUGAUCAAUCAUUCUCAAGUAGAGAGGAUUGAAUCAUGUGGUGAGUAGUAGCAGGAGGUCCUAGUCUUGGAGGCUUCCAGUAUGCUUCAGGGCGUGGAACAGACUAACCUCGUGAGUAUGGUAGGGUGAAACUCAUUAGCAACGGCUUUGCAAAGCAGUAGAGGCCACCACGAGUGCAUAACCCGCCAUAGCUCGAUGGCGAGGAUGAUACUUUGGAAACAGCUCUUGACGGGGACGGCAGUGCUGCAGCUUAGAUUUGCUAGCUUUUAUUCCAUGAACUCAUAUUAUUUUGAAGAACUUUAGUGCAUUUAAAGUUUUAAAUUUUCUGUAAUUUUUAGGGA
This 704-nucleotide small RNA is filed under the name Vigna angularis var. angularis. Its description in RNAcentral is "Non-protein coding transcript". Lineage: Eukaryota; Viridiplantae; Streptophyta; Magnoliopsida; Fabales; Fabaceae. The record is from RNAcentral.